This 633-nucleotide ribosomal RNA is filed under the name Lactobacillus sp. DumLac34. Its description in RNAcentral is "bacterial SSU rRNA". It matches the Rfam family "Bacterial small subunit ribosomal RNA", at positions 49 to 650 of the family's 1533-position model. The record is from RNAcentral. Lineage: Bacteria; Bacillati; Bacillota; Bacilli; Lactobacillales; Lactobacillaceae.
UAAUACAUGCAAGUCGAGCGAGCGGAACCACAGAUUUACUUCGGUAAUGACGUUGGGAAAGCGAGCGGCGGAUGGGUGAGUAACACGUGGGGAACCUGCCCCUAAGUCUGGGAUACCAUUUGGAAACAGGUGCUAAUACCGGAUAAUAAAGCAGAUCGCAUGAUCAGCUUUUGAAAGGCGGCGUAAGCUGUCGCUAAGGGAUGGCCCCGCGGUGCAUUAGCUAGUUGGUAAGGUAACGGCUUACCAAGGCGACGAUGCAUAGCCGAGUUGAGAGACUGAUCGGCCACAUUGGGACUGAGACACGGCCCAAACUCCUACGGGAGGCAGCAGUAGGGAAUCUUCCACAAUGGACGCAAGUCUGAUGGAGCAACGCCGCGUGAGUGAAGAAGGUUUUCGGAUCGUAAAGCUCUGUUGUUGGUGAAGAAGGAUAGAGGUAGUAACUGGCCUUUAUUUGACGGUAAUCAACCAGAAAGUCACGGCUAACUACGUGCCAGCAGCCGCGGUAAUACGUAGGUGGCAAGCGUUGUCCGGAUUUAUUGGGCGUAAAGCGAGCGCAGGCGGAAAAAUAAGUCUAAUGUGAAAGCCCUCGGCUUAACCGAGGAACUGCAUCGGAAACUGUUUUUCUUGAGUGCA